AUUGAACGCUGGCGGCAGGCCUAACACAUGCAAGUCGAGCGGAUGAAGGGAGCUUGCUCCUGGAUUCAGCGGCGGACGGGUGAGUAAUGCCUAGGAAUCUGCCUGGUAGUGGGGGAUAACGUCCGGAAACGGGCGCUAAUACCGCAUACGUCUUGAGGGAGAAAGUGGGGGAUCUUCGGACCUCACGCUAUCAGUUGAGCCUAGGUCGGAUUAGCUAGUUGGUGGGGUAAAGGCCUACCAAGGCGACGAUCCGUAACUGGUCUGAGAGGAUGAUCAGUCACACUGGAACUGAGACACGGUCCAGACUCCUACGGGAGGCAGCAGUGGGGAAUAUUGGACAAUGGGCGAAAGCCUGAUCCAGCCAUGCCGCGUGUGUGAAGAAGGUCUUCGGAUUGUAAAGCACUUUAAGUUGGGAGGAAGGGCGGUAAGUUAAUACCUUGCUGUUUUGACGUUACCAACAGAAUAAGCACCGGCUAACUUCGUG
RNAcentral lists this ribosomal RNA (484 nucleotides) under uncultured bacterium. Its description in RNAcentral is "partial 16S ribosomal RNA". It matches the Rfam family "Bacterial small subunit ribosomal RNA", at positions 30 to 507 of the family's 1533-position model. The record is from RNAcentral.